AAGACUGUGACAAUGAUGAUGCUAAAACCCUUUGUGGAGCUCCAGAGGAACAGCUAAGUCAGGAUCUUGUGUGAACUUCUGCAGAGGAUGGAAUCGGCGACCAUGUUUGCCACCGGUUUCUUAAUUAAUACGAAAGCGCUGGCCUACACUAACCCUCAAGCCUGACUCCAUCUGAUUCCAGAGGACGUCUGACCAUCAGAUUCAGCCUGUGCCCCACUGGUAUGUUGGCAGUUUAUAAUACUCACAGUUCUCUCUGCUAGCUUGGCUCAGUGUAUUUUCUUAUCUGCACUACACUAUGUGUACCUGAUAAUUCUUUUCACAGUGCAUGGUGUUCGCUGAUC
This is a non-coding RNA of Paralichthys olivaceus (Japanese flounder), 341 nucleotides long. The record is from RefSeq and is a predicted model, not a curated record. NCBI's taxonomy places the organism in Eukaryota, Metazoa, Chordata, Actinopteri, Pleuronectiformes, Paralichthyidae.